UUAAAACUCCCAACUGCAUGUAACUUAUAAACAUUGAAUUAUCAAUUUUUGUGGGUCUUUCCCACCCAGAAGAUGAAGAACGCCAGGCCAGUCGAAAUAUUGUUUCAGUUUUAUUUACCUGAAAUUUGCUAUUUUAUCAAGCACCCAGCACAAGUGUUUCGCUGUGAACUUAUUUACAUACUUAUCGGUACGUAUGUGGAGUAUAAACAACAAAGGCAGAAACAACGAAAAACGAGUUUCUAUAUAUAAGGUGGCUAUGCUGUAAAAUAAUAAAGGGCGGGCCGUAUCAAGAGUUGCUGUUAUGGUAGACAAAACGGGUCGUGAGUUUCAGUUUCUCGGGGGUUAAAACGAUCGACAUACUCCGAUGACGCAUUUUAGAACCGGAAAUGCUCCCUCCGCCUGCCAUUUGGCUGAGUUCUCAAUAAGUAUGCAAAUCGGAUUCGGAUUGUUUGUGCACUUUUCGGUAAUUACUCCCAUGAAUUAAAAGCAAACUCUGGACGGGAAAACCAGCACUCGACAAGAGUGUAAACAAACUACACAGCGAUUAUGAUUUAUGAAUCGAAAUAAAGCGCUGACAAUUCAAACAGCAGCGGAAAUGGUAAAGAAAGCCGAUCAGAACUUGUACAAAGCCAAUAAAAACGAUCGCAGAUAACUCGAACGCGUCGCGCAGAUAAUGCCAGCGACUAACUAACUGUAAACAUAUACUAUUUAGGUUAUCACUAUCAUUUUCAGCUCGCAGCUGACAAGAUAAAGUUGUACCACAAAGUCAAAGACUAGAACACCGAGAAACUCAGGUAAAUUUUGGGGAGUGAAAGAAGCCCCGAAGCCACCCAUAAACAAGCGACGUCUGGAUUUCUCGAGAUCUGCAGAUCUUUAUGGACCUGCAGAUAAGCUGGAUUGUUUACCCUAACCCGAAGAUAAGCGACAUGGGGUCCCGAAGCUCUAUUUACCUUUUUAGAUGCGUUUGCAGCUGCCGCUCGCGAAGAAGAGAGUAUCUGUAGCUUUGGGUUUUCUUUAUAUCUUUGAUUUCACAACACCAUCGGAGAUUCCAUAAACACCAAAUAGAAUUUCGCUUUCGUAUAUUGCUUCACAGAACUUUUCUUUUCGUAUAGAUCAGAUGUGUAAUUUCUCUUUUAUUUUCGUUGUUUCGUUUAUUUAUUUUAUUUUUUUGAAUCACUUGUAUUUAUUUCUCGUUUUCAACAACAACAUUUCGUCAUGUUUUUUCUAUGGGGCGUACAAAAAAUGUAGUAAACGUAAUCGAAAACAAAAGCACGCGUUCUCUUUCUCGAAAGAGAGAAGGAGACGGGCGGUGGGGCAGAGAAAGAGACAGGGAUAGAGAUAGAAAGGUGGAAACAGAAACACACGCACACUACAAAUAAACAAAAACGGAACCGAACC
Drosophila simulans is the source of this 1398-nucleotide long non-coding RNA. RefSeq lists it as uncharacterized. The record is from RefSeq and is a predicted model, not a curated record. Lineage: Eukaryota; Metazoa; Arthropoda; Insecta; Diptera; Drosophilidae. The transcript is spliced from 2 exons.